Lactuca sativa (garden lettuce) is the source of this 2625-nucleotide non-coding RNA. The record is from RefSeq and is a predicted model, not a curated record. Lineage: Eukaryota; Viridiplantae; Streptophyta; Magnoliopsida; Asterales; Asteraceae.
CUUAUAUUUUGACUUAAUUAAUUGAAAAGUUCCAACUUUUUGUUUUUUAAUAGAAAAAGACAGGAUACCUGGUAAACAUUUAGAAAAAAAAAAUCCUUUUUGCUAGGCUUUGCAUACUCCACAUUGCAAUUUGGGAAGACAGAUUUUUUGCAAAAAAUUAAAAGAUUAGGUCCUCAGAUUUACUAUAGCAAGCAAAUACAACAUAUUUUUAUUCUUUAGUCUUUUUGAUGUAAUGUCAUUGGCUAAAAGUCUUAACAAAAGUUUGCAUCCAAUUGAAGCUUUGUUGCUGAUAUUUUCCAUGAGUUGCAUGAAGAAGUGACAAUUUUUGUAAGGGGCUCAACAGACAUAACAUCCGGAUUCCCAGAAGUUGGUUCCAGUUUAGAGGAGGCCAAGGAGGUUUGUAACAGCCCGGAUUCCCAGGUAUUAAUUAGUCAUUUAUUUUUGUUAAUUGUGAGGGGACUCGGCGAGUCGGAGCCUAGACUCGCCGAGUAUGAUCGCGGAUUUAGACGCGGGUUCGCAUCCGGACUCGGCGAGUCCACGCUGUUUAAUGAAACCCUAAUUUCCUGACCCUAAGCCCUAUUUAAGGGGCAUUAUAGCCCUUCAUUGCGGCUACCCUCGACCUUGAGAGAUCCAGAGCAGCUGUGAGCCCUUGUGAAUGUGAAGAGAGGCCAUUAAUCACCAUUUUGUGUGUGUGCUACGAAAAAGAGAAGAGGAAGACCAAGCUAGAAGAGUUGGGGAGCUAGGAUCUAACUUCAUUUCAUCAGAAGAGGCUGAUUGAGGUAUUAUUCAGAGCUUAUUCUCGUGUUUUUGUGUAUGUAGUCAAAUCUAGGGUUUCUUCAUGCCUUGUUUGCCUUGUAUUUAGAGAGUGAGAGGUCCCAUGGAGAAAUGGUACCUAGAUCUGGACCUUAUUAGGUCCAGAGAGUCCCAAAUGCCUUGCUUUAUGCCCAUCCUUUUCAGUUGUGAACUUAGGUUGCCAUUUUAGAUGCCAUUUUCCCAAAAGAAGCCCUGUAAGCGAUGCAUGGCAACCAAGUUAGGGACUUUACAUGAUGAAUGAGCUUGGAAGGACUGGAUCUAUGAUCCUUUGGAACGGAUCUGACCUUAGAUGCAAGUUUGAGCUGUUGCAUGGCAUGGAGUCGCCGAGUCUGAAGAACAGACUCGACGAGUAGCAUGAAGAUUGCCCAGAACCACUCAGCGAGUGGUCUGGCCGAGUUGAGGGUUGACUCAGUGAAUCAGGAAGAGUCAGAGCGAGUGGGCAGGUGGACCGAGUCAAGCUGGAACUCGCCGAGUUGUUCUUGAGACUCGGCGAGUUGAGUCGUGGUGGCCCCACAACUCAUGCCAGGUGGAACUCGUCGAGUUAGGAGAAUACUCGACGUGUCGGAAGAGGAUCCAAGGGAGUCCGGGGACACGCAUAGACUCGCCGAGUCACUCGAGUGCACUCGGCGAGUCCAGUCAAAGAUUUGACCGUUGACCAUUGACCAGAGUUGACAUAUGUUGACUUGAUAAGAGCUAGUCAAUCUUAGUGGUGAAAGUGUUAACAAGGGAUAUAAUGUGUUAAAGGAGGAUUAUAGCACGGGAGAGUGACUUCAGGUAUUUGCGAAUUUACCGAGAUACGCGAGGUGAGUCUUCUCACUUUACUUUACCUUGAGUAGGUAACUAGAGUUAUGUGAUAGAGUAUUUGUAUAUUAUAUAUGCUAUGUGUUGCACUGCAUUAUUUCUAUGUGAUUUAUGCUAUGCAUGUUAUCAGAGUUAGAACCUGAGGGUUCACAGAGUUUGGGUGCACGGACCCACAGAGUUAUAGUCUCGAGUGGCUAAUAUGUGUUAUGUAUGGUAUUUUGGGAAACUCACUAAGCUUUGUGCUUACAGUGUUUAGUGUUAUUUUUUUCAGGUACUAGUGAUGACCGUGGGAAGGCGCCGGCUUGACCAGUACACACACGAGAUUUUUAUGCUAUGUGAUCUUGGGAUUUUUAUAUGAUAUGUAUUUGGGUUUCAAACAAUGGUGUUUUAUGAAAAUUAAAUGAAUUAUGUUUUUAUAAAUUGCGAAAAAUUGUUUCGAAAUUUUACGGCGUUACAAGGUUGCUUAUUCAUGGAUUGCAAGCAGAGGGCAUCAUCCUUGAGGCGGGGCUAGGUCAUUGUUACGAGAUUUAGGGAUAUCGAGCACGUGAGUUACUAGACAUCAUACGAGGUAAGUCUUCUCACUAUACUGUACCUGGAAGGGUACCUAUAUGCGACCGGAAGGUCUUGUAUGCUAUGAGAUGCAUGUGCUAUAUGUUGUUAUGGGAUAUGUAUGUGAUAUGUAUGUGUUAUGUAUGUUAUGCAUGAUAUGGACCGGAAGGUCAAGAGGUCACGAGCCGGAAGGUCGAUACGGGUAGGACUGGAAGGUCUACCGGGAUUCGGGAUGGAAGUCACCUGAGACACUUGGAUCGGAAGAUCCCACAGAGUUGAGGCCUGGAAAGGCAUAUGUGUGGUACUAGUGACGAUCGUGGGAAAGCGCCGGCAUGAUCAGUACACACACGAGGAGUUUUACAUUUUCAUGAUCUUGGGAUGUGAUGUUAUGAACUGAAUUUGUAAUACAAUGAUAUUUUGAUAACAAUUAUGAAUGCAUGUGUAUUUUUAAAAUGUGAAAAA